Molecule: long non-coding RNA, 780 nt
Organism: Pomacea canaliculata
Lineage: Eukaryota; Metazoa; Mollusca; Gastropoda; Architaenioglossa; Ampullariidae
Exons: 3
Source: RefSeq, a predicted model, not a curated record
AGCUCACCUGAACGCCUCAACAUUACCUUUGUAAACGACACGUGCAUGGAAGCUGAGUGGUCACCUGGAGCAGGUGUGACAGAACAGUACCGAGUCGAUGUUAUCCACCUGGGUAAAACACCACCACAUGUAACAACACAGACUACCUGGAGUUACUGUGGUCUGUCUCCUGGAGAACUGUUCAACGUCUCUGUCUACGCCAUGAGUAACUCAGUCCUGAGUCGUGUCCCCAUCCGUCUUGGAUUACACGAAUCCCUCCAAACCAAAAAACGGAAGAUUACAUAUCACCAAUUUGAAAUCCUCAGUGCGCUUGCAUGUUUCGUGGAGUCCUGGUUCCACCAAAGACAAAGAAUUUAUUGUCACAGUUGAAAAUAGAACCGACAUUAAUCUAGUUGUGUCCUCGAUAUUAUGGGCUAUUGUUCACAUUUCGUAUGAAUCAAGGUAUACCAUCAAUAUACAAGCUGUGAACCAUGGAAAAAAGAGUUCCCCCUUACAGCUGACGGGAUGCACAGAACCAGGUAGAGUAGAGGAAUUAACCGUUAAGUCUUCGGGUUAUAACUGGAUUGAACUUGAGUGGAGCCCACCUGCUGGAGACGUCGACAGUUUUGAGUAUGAGGUCACAGUUCGCAAACCCGGGUCACGUGAUCUUGUUGAUGUGACUGAUACCAUUCCAUACACGGUGGGCAACCUUACUCCUGGAACAAACUACUACCUGACAGUGAGGGUGAAGUUCUGCAAUUUAACGAGUGACUAUACAACUGUCAGUGAAGCCACAAGUCU